GACGAACGCUGGCGGCGUGCUUAACACAUGCAAUUCGAACGCUGAAGCUUGGUGCUUGCACUGGGUGGCUGAGUGGCGAACGGGUGAGUAAUACGUGAGUAACCUGCCCUUGACUCUGGGAUAAGCCUGGGAAACUGGGUCUAAUACUGGAUACGACAUGCCCCUGCAUGGUGGUGUGUGGAAAGGGUUUUACUGGUUUUGGAUGGGCUCACGGCCUAUCAGCUUGUUGGUGGGGUAAUGGCCUACCAAGGCGACGACGGGUAGCCGGCCUGAUGGGGUGAACGGCCACACUGGGAUUGAGAGACGCCCCAAAUUCCUACGGGAGGCAGCAGUGGGGAUAAUUGCACAAUGGGCGGAAGCCUGAUGCAGCGACGCCGCGUGAGGGAUGACGGCCUUCGGGUUGUAAACCUCUUUCAGCACGGAAGAAGCGAGAGUGACGGUACGUGCAGAAGAAGCGCGGGCUAACUACGUG
This 472-nucleotide ribosomal RNA is filed under the name uncultured bacterium. RNAcentral describes it as "partial 16S ribosomal RNA". It matches the Rfam family "Bacterial small subunit ribosomal RNA", at positions 28 to 507 of the family's 1533-position model. The record is from RNAcentral.